GAUACGCUGAUAGCCAAUGGGAAGGGUAGCGGUCGUACGCUAAUUACCAUGUUUCUCUUUUAUUAGUGUAGAUAUCUUCCCUCUGAAUUUACUUUCCUUUGUUGUUCUAUUUUUUCUUUUACUUUUUUUUCUUCAGGAGGGGGUUGUUUUUUAGAAGUACAUCCUUUAUUGGUUCUUUCGGUGAGAAUGUCAGCUUAUUAGUCUUUGUCCUAAAAUGUCCUAUUUUGCCUUGAUUCUCAUAAGAUAACUCAGCUGGCUAUAAAACACAGGUUGACAUUUAUUUUCUUUCAGCAAUUGUGUAGUCUUCUAGCACAUACUUUGAUGAAAAGAAGACUGUCGUUGGCCUGUCAAUUCUUUCUUUCUUUCAGGAACAAAGACUACUACUCAUCUCCUGGCUUCAAGCAGUAAGACGGUGCCAGGUCCCUCAUCAUGAGCAGAGCACUUUUAGACCCAAAUACUUACAACAGCUGAACUCCUGGGUGGCCACAACCUUUCAGACCCAGAGCCCAGAAGGUCCUCAGUUUCAGACCUACUCACCACAUACAUUUUUAUUCUAUAUUCUUAAGCCCAACUAUAUCUUUUUUAUAUAUUUAUCUUUUUAUUAUGCAUAUUUUAUCUACAUUGCUGUAGAGACAUGCAGAUUGGAUGUUUCAAAGCAUGAAUUUACAGUCAUUUUGUCUGGAGGCUCUCUUAAAUUCAGAUUGCCUUUGAUGGGAAAUUCUCUAGUACAGAUGCAAAAAAUGACGUCUCCAUGGCUGCUGGUUGGAGACUUUUGACCGCCCCGCAGUCUGAAUUUUAGUCUAACAAGGGAGAGAGGAGAAACUAGAAAGAAUCUAUAUUGGUGAUGGAUAAUGGCAGCUACUUCUAGUUUCCAAAAGCAGCUUCUAGUGUUAGAAUCUUCUGUCUGCUCUUGGUGUUACCAGUGCCUACCAAUGGAGACAUGAGUAUCUUCCAAAGGACUCCACAGCAGAACUUGGGGCAUGGAUACCAUUUGGCUCUCCCAUAAAGUCUGUAAUGUAAAUAAAGCUGCUUGAUGCUUAAA
This is a long non-coding RNA of Myotis lucifugus (little brown bat), 1042 nucleotides long. RefSeq lists it as uncharacterized. Lineage: Eukaryota; Metazoa; Chordata; Mammalia; Chiroptera; Vespertilionidae. The transcript is spliced from 2 exons. The record is from RefSeq and is a predicted model, not a curated record.